UGGGGAAUUUUGGACAAUGGGCGAAAGCCUGAUCCAGCAAUGCCGCGUGUGUGAAGAAGGCCUUCGGGUUGUAAAGCACUUUUGUCCGGAAAGAAAUCCUUGGCUCUAAUACAGUCGGGGGAUGACGGUACCGGAAGAAUAAGCACCGGCUAACUACGUGCCAGCAGCCGCGGUAAUACGUAGGGUGCAAGCGUUAAUCGGAAUUACUGGGCGUAAAGCGUGCGCAGGCGGUUUGCUAAGACCGAUGUGAAAUCCCCGGGCUCAACCUGGGAACUGCAUUGGUGACUGGCAGGCUAGAGUAUGGCAGAGGGGGGUAGAAUUCCACGUGUAGCAGUGAAAUGCGUAGAGAUGUGGAGGAAUACCGAUGGCGAAGGCAGCCCCCUGGGCCAAUACUGACGCUCAUGCACGAAAGCGUGGGGAGCAAACAGGAUUAGAUACCCUGGUAGUCCACGCCCUAAACGAUGUCAACUAGUUGUUGGGAUUCAUUCCUUAGUAACGUAGCUAACGCGUGAAGUUGACCGCCUGGGGAGUACGGUCGCAAGAUUAAAACUUAAAUGAAUUGACGGGGUCAUAGCUGUUUCCU
RNAcentral lists this ribosomal RNA (583 nucleotides) under uncultured bacterium. RNAcentral's name for it is "partial 16S ribosomal RNA". It matches the Rfam family "Bacterial small subunit ribosomal RNA", at positions 355 to 1375 of the family's 1533-position model. The record is from RNAcentral.